AUGAUGUGUCUUGCUGUGGGUCUAUUUGGGUUCAAUUUGUUUGGGUCCCUCUGUGCUUCCUGUAUCCUGAACUCAAUAUCCUUUAGAUUUGGGAAAUUUCCAGCGAUAAUUUCUUCAAAUAUAUUUUCCAUCCCCUUAUCUUUUUCUACUCCUUCUGGAAUUCCUAUUAUGCAUAGAUUGGCCCGCUUUAUAUUAUCCCAUAGGUCUCUUAUAUUGCUUUCAUGUGUUUUCAUUUGGUUUUCUCUCUGCUGUUCUAAUUGGGUGAUUUCCAUUAUUCUAUCUUCCAUAUCACUGAUUCGUUCUUCUGCAUUAUUCAUUCUGGUUUUUACUGUCCUUAGUUCAGUUUGUAUCUCUGCAAAUGAAUGUUCUAGUUUUUCUUGGCUCCUCCUUAUAUUUUCUAGUUCCUUUCUGAGGGUGUCUGAAUUACUGUUCAUAUCUUCUCUUAAUUCCUUCAGUAUCUUCACUGUUUCUCUUUUGAAGUCCAGGUCUGUCAGACUGCAGAGAUCUGUUUCAUUGUUGACUGCUUUAGGUGAGUUCUCCUGUUGGUUUAACUGGGGGUGGUUUCUCAGCUUCUUCAUCUUUCUUGUUGUUGUCUUUAUCCUGGUGGAGUUGUACUCUCCGUGGCUGGGCAGUGUUUGCCUUGUCACUGACAUGGAAUGUUUCCUGAGCACUGGCAUUGUUAGUCAGUCUUUUUUGAGGCAGUGUGGCUUUUCUGGAGUGUUGGCGGAGUUAACAGGGUCUCUCUUAAGCAAAGGAGGACUUCCUGAGGGCAGACAGGACUGGGAGAUCCACACCACGAUGGGAGCAGAUUUCACUUGGUCAUGCAGAGCUUGCUCUGGUGUUUUUGGGCUGUGGGGUUCUUGCAGGGGGUUGGCGGUGUUGGGCAGCUGUUCCUCAGGAGUGCAGCGCCCCCCCCCCAGGGUUGGAGCAGCUAGCUGGGUCCCUGAGAACCUAAGAGGCUCUUCCCCAGGGCCGCCUGAUUCGGAAGGACUGUCUGAGAAUGUAGGCAGGUCUUUACACGGCCAGGCCAAGCUUGUUCUAGCUUUUCUGGGCUUCAGGGGCUCUUGCAGGGGGCUGGCAGUGCUGGGCAGCUUUUCUGCAGGAGUGCAGCACCCCCCGAGGGAUGGAGCGGCUAGCUGGGCCACUACGAACCCAAGAGGCUCUUCCCCAGGGCAGCCUGACUCAGAAGGACUGUCCAAGAAUUAG
This 1206-nucleotide long non-coding RNA is filed under the name Sus scrofa (pig). RNAcentral's name for it is "lncRNA (ENSSSCG00070011870.1)". The record is from RNAcentral. Lineage: Eukaryota; Metazoa; Chordata; Mammalia; Artiodactyla; Suidae.